Molecule: long non-coding RNA, 656 nt
Filed under: Brachypodium distachyon (stiff brome)
Lineage: Eukaryota; Viridiplantae; Streptophyta; Magnoliopsida; Poales; Poaceae
Description: long non-coding RNA (BDIS_LNC001266)
Source: RNAcentral
UGCACAUUUGUCGGACCUGACCUUCUGCAGUUCAGUAGCAGCAAAAGGUAAUCAUCAGUUGCACUACAGCUGAAGUGGUAUAUAGGAGUAUAUCAACCGGCCGGAUCUACAAACAAGGAAAGAGAUCGUACGUACGUGUAGCUUUCCAGGACCAGGAGUGAUAUCUUUGAUCUUUUGCUGCAUCCUGCAGGUAGCUCAUGUAUGCAGUGAUGAUAAAUGAUCAUUGCUCACCAGGUACAUAGGUAGUUAAAUUUGGGUCAGAAAAUACCACACAGACAAAGAGUUUUUCUUUUACUUUUUUUUUACACAGCGACACAAAGGAUCUAUUAAUUGUGAAAUUUGUAGGGAAGCAAGCAACAGUUGGCUCUUCAGAGUUCAGUUUUAUUCAGAUGACGGCAAAGAGAUUUGUGAGUCAAAACAUGGAAUUCACAAAACACAAAUGAAACAUAUCAGUGUAAUAAACACUUUGGGUCCACUUAUUAUUAGUACAAAAUCGUCAUUUAGUUAAUUUCUUGAAUAUUGAAUUGAAUUCACGCAGUUGUUAAGCCUGCAAUGAAUCAAACAGCUGUAAAAGGCUGGAUAUUUUUGUACCCCCAUCAUCUCACACUCUUCAGGUUGUGGAUAUAUACGGCCGGCUCACAUGCACAGCACAGCAC